GGGUUGUGAGGUUAAGCGACUAAGCGUACACGGUGGAUGCCCUGGCAGUCAGAGGCGAUGAAGGACGUGCUAAUCUGCGAUAAGCGUCGGUGAGGUGAUAUGAACCGUUAUAACCGGCGAUUUCCGAAUGGGGAAACCCAGUGUGUUUCGACACACUAUCAUUAACUGAAUCCAUAGGUUAAUGAGGCGAACCGGGGGAACUGAAACAUCUAAGUACCCCGAGGAAAAGAAAUCAACCGAGAUUCCCCCAGUAGCGGCGAGCGAACGGGGAGGAGCCCAGAGCCUGAAUCAGUGUGUGUGUUAGUGGAAGCGUCUGGAAAGGCGCGCGAUACAGGGUGACAGCCCCGUACACAAAAAUGCACAUAUUGUGAGCUCGAUGAGUAGGGCGGGACACGUGGUAUCCUGUCUGAAUAUGGGGGGACCAUCCUCCAAGGCUAAAUACUCCUGACUGACCGAUAGUGAACCAGUACCGUGAGGGAAAGGCGAAAAGAACCCCGGCGAGGGGAGUGAAAAAGAACCUGAAACCGUGUACGUACAAGCAGUGGGAGCCUCUUUUAUGGGGUGACUGCGUACCUUUUGUAUAAUGGGUCAGCGACUUAUAUUCUGUAGCAAGGUUAACCGAAUAGGGGAGCCGAAGGGAAACCGAGUCUUAACUGGGCGUUAAGUUGCAGGGUAUAGACCCGAAACC
RNAcentral lists this ribosomal RNA (688 nucleotides) under Escherichia coli OP50. Its description in RNAcentral is "partial 23S ribosomal RNA". It matches the Rfam family "Bacterial large subunit ribosomal RNA", at positions 1 to 722 of the family's 2925-position model. The record is from RNAcentral. Lineage: Bacteria; Pseudomonadati; Pseudomonadota; Gammaproteobacteria; Enterobacterales; Enterobacteriaceae.